UACGUAGGGUGCGAGCGUUAAUCGGAAUUACUGGGCGUAAAGCGUGCGCAGGCGGUUCGUUGUGUCGGCGGUGAAAGCCCCGGGCUUAACCUGGGAAUGGCCGUCGAAACUGGCGAACUGGAGUGUGGCAGAGGGGGGUGGAAUUCCCGGUGUAGCGGUGAAAUGCGUAGAGAUCGGGAGGAACACCAGAGGCGAAGGCGGCGACCUGGACAAGCACUGACACUCAACUACGAAAGCGUGGGGAGCAAACAGG
This 253-nucleotide ribosomal RNA is filed under the name uncultured bacterium. RNAcentral's name for it is "partial 16S ribosomal RNA". It matches the Rfam family "Bacterial small subunit ribosomal RNA", at positions 524 to 776 of the family's 1533-position model. The record is from RNAcentral.